GCAAACUUGGUCAUUUAGAGGAAGUAAAAGUCGUAACAAGGUUUCCGUAGGUGAACCUGCGGAAGGAUCAUUACAAAAAAAAAAAGGGUUUUCUUUUUUAAAAACCUCUUUUUUUGAUUCACCCUGUGUGCACUCAUUUGGGACCGUUCGUUCUCUUUUAUAGAGGCGUCGGUUUCAUAUUCUCUAUUUCCUACUCUACUUUCCUUUGUCUGAUCUCAAACAAAUUACAAAAAAAAAAAAAUACAACUUUCAACAACGGAUCUCUUGGCUCUCGCAUCGAUGAAGAACGCAGC
RNAcentral lists this unclassified non-coding RNA (293 nucleotides) under uncultured fungus. RNAcentral describes it as "partial contains small subunit ribosomal RNA, internal transcribed spacer 1, and 5.8S ribosomal RNA". The stretch from base 1 to 73 matches the Rfam family "Eukaryotic small subunit ribosomal RNA", at positions 1759 to 1831 of the family's 1831-position model. Lineage: Eukaryota; Fungi. The record is from RNAcentral.